This 315-nucleotide ribosomal RNA is filed under the name uncultured eukaryote. Its description in RNAcentral is "partial 18S ribosomal RNA". It matches the Rfam family "Eukaryotic small subunit ribosomal RNA", at positions 1470 to 1796 of the family's 1831-position model. The record is from RNAcentral.
CCCUUAGAUGUUCUGGGCUGCACGCGCGCUACACUGACGCACGCAACAGGUGCCUGCUCCGAGAGGACUGGGUAAUCAUUUGAGUGUGCGUCGUGAUGGGGAUAGAAUAUUGUAAUUAUUACUCUUCAACGAGGAAUUCCUAGUAAGCGCAAGUCAGCAGCUUGCGCUGAUUACGUCCCUGCCCUUUGUACACACCGCCCGUCGCUCCUACCGAUGGGUGAUCCGGUGAAUGAUUCGGACUUCAGCGGCUCCUCUGGGGUGCGCCGGAGAAAGUUUUGUGAACCUUAUCACUUGGAGGAAGGAGAAGCCGUAACA